Molecule: ribosomal RNA, 254 nt
Filed under: uncultured bacterium
Lineage: Bacteria
Description: partial 16S ribosomal RNA
Rfam family: Bacterial small subunit ribosomal RNA
Source: RNAcentral
UACGGGGGGAGCAAGCGUUGUUCGGAUUUACUGGGCGUAAAGGGCGCGUAGGCGGCGCGGUAAGUCACUUGUGAAAUCUCUGAGCUUAACUCAGAACGGCCAAGUGAUACUGCAGUGCUAGAGUGCAGAAAGGGCAAUCGGAAUUCUUGGUGUAGCGGUGAAAUGCGUAGAUAUCAAGAGGAAUACCUGAGGCGAAGGCGGGUUGCUAGGCUGACACUGACGCUGAGUGCGCGAAAGCCAGGGGAGCAAACGGG